This 255-nucleotide ribosomal RNA is filed under the name uncultured bacterium. Its description in RNAcentral is "partial 16S ribosomal RNA". It matches the Rfam family "Bacterial small subunit ribosomal RNA", at positions 524 to 776 of the family's 1533-position model. The record is from RNAcentral.
UACGUAGGGUGCAAGCGUUGUCCGGAAUUAUUGGGCGUAAAGAGCUUGUAGGCGGUUUGUCGCGUCUGCUGUGAAAUUUCGGGGCUCAACCCCGAACUUGCAGUGGGUACGGGCAGGCUAGAGUGUGGUAGGGGGAGACUGGAAUUCCUGGUGUAGCGGUGAAAUGCGCAGAUAUCAGGAGGAACACCGAUGGCGAAGGCAGGUCUCUGGGCCACUACUGACGCUGAGAAGCGAAAGCAUGGGGGAGCGAACAGG